AACUGAUACUACCUGCGGGAACCUGCGGAGGGAUCAUUACUGAAGUGAUUUGGGGAUGUUGCUGGCCCUCUCUCAAGGGGGGGCACUGUGCACUCCCCGAAACAAUUCACAAUUUCCAUCACACCCCUUGUGCACACCUUGUAGGCACCCAAACCCACCUCCGGGUGGUGGGGUCCUAUGUAUUCCUUCAUCUCACACUCUGUUGAAUGGUGCCAUGGGACGCAUCUAAAGGAUUAUUUG
This 240-nucleotide unclassified non-coding RNA is filed under the name soil metagenome. RNAcentral's name for it is "partial contains 5.8S ribosomal RNA, internal transcribed spacer 2, and large subunit ribosomal RNA". The record is from RNAcentral.